UUUUUUAAUUAAUUAUUAAGUAAAAUAUAUUCUAUAAUUUUCAAGUUUUUGAAAUAAGUACGAGAUAAAUUAAUUAAAGAUAAUAUUAAGGAAGAGAUUAUUAAUACAGUAACAUUUAUUUAAAAAAACAACAAUACUUGGAUUUUGAUCCCAAUCUUUAAAAUUAUAUAAAGUAAAACAAAAAUAAAAGUUAAAAAAAAUAAAUUGGCUCCGGAGAGAUUAACCGGAUAUUUUUCUUGCCUGAAAAUAUAUAUAUAUUACCGCCACUCCUCCACCGCCGCCACUCGCCACCCUUUCUCCUUCUUUCUUUGCUCCUUCGUAAAACCCUAAUAAAGCAAAAAAAAAAAAAAACCAAUUUCAUCAUCACUUCAACCUCCAAAAACAAAUACACAUUACCAAACAAAAAUAUCCGGUCCGAAACAAUCAAUUUCAUCAUCCCAUUUUGCUUAUUCUCUUCUUUACAACACAAAUUGCUCAACAUUAACAAGAUGAAAAAAAUGCAUGAAAGGGCCAUUGGCGUGGCAGAUCAAGUCUAUGUGAGUACUGAAAUCUCUUCCAGAACGACCCUUGUUUCUGCGAUGCAAACAACUCCAACUACAAGAACAACACCAUGAUUCGCAAAGAGAACUUCGUCACCCUUGUCGUCAGAAAUUAAGAACUUGGUGCCAGCGGAAUUAAGACCUUCUCUCCUAUAGCGAUUUGGAUUGAAUUGGAAUUGGAGGAGAUGGUUGAAACAACUUGGUAAGUUCUUGAAGAUUCAGCUGCUUGGGUGUCGAAGAAACCAACUUCUUGUCUAAGGAUAGCUUUCAGGUAUUCCAUUCUCAUUCGAGAAGUUUGUCUUUCGGCAGUUCUUGCCCAACAAAGUCCUUCUGCAUAAAUAAAUGCCAGCAAAAUUUCAACAUAGAAUAUAGUGAACUUCUAGUAAUGAAGGUAUAGUCUUUAUUUCUCAUCGAGUAUUGGAAACGAUAAAUUAGAGGGUUAAGUGCGGAAACCCCCAUCUGCUAUGCUUACUGUGUGUAUCACACCCCUCAUGUGCACAAAACACCCCUGAAGUAUGCAAUAGUGCAAAUAAACUCUACCUGACACAUUUAAGGUAGAUUUUACCCAAAUUACUGAGACAUUUUACAUACUAUCUAAAAAUACAUAAUUUUGUGAAAUGACGAAAAGUGACACAAGUUAAAUUGACAUUGUUUGGACUCAAAUGCACAGAUCAUUCAACCCUAACUUCUUAUUGUCUAAGGUGCAGGAACAUCAUCAACAAAUGAGUCAUAAGCUUUAAGUGUCGUGAGGAGUAGGAAGAUGCAUGGAGAGAUUUGGGGGAGUUCUUGAUUAGGAAAGAGAAUUGGAUUUUGGAGGGGAGAGAGGAGGUGACAAAGGACUAGCGCAUGAAGGGGCGAACAGGGUUUUGCGGCAGCAGGAGAACCAGCCGAUGAGGGGCGGUCGGUUGGAGGAGACGAGGCGUCAGAGAGAGAAAUAAAUGACGUUGAGUUGGCCAGUGGAGUCAUAGAAGGUGGAGUUGGAUGUCAAGCAGGAGGAAGAGGUGAUUGGGGUGACAAGGGUGGUGGAGUCGGAGGAUGUGGUGGUGGCGCCUGCAUCGGCUGUGGGGUCAUCGGAGAGGGAUGAUGGUGUGAUGUAGGUAACGUGGCGGAAGAGGACGCCUUCCACGUCACCUAGAGAGGAAGAGAACCAUUGGAUGUUGGAGGCUAAUGUGGGGCCCGAUAUUUGUGUUAACCAUUGUUGACAUUAUUAUACUGUUUACAGACCAAAUCACAUAAUUUGUAGUUUUUACUUGUAUGAAUUAUACUUCCUGCUCAACUAGGCUCAAGGAUUAUAGUAAUUAUAAUUAACCAAAGUUUUAUCGUCGAACUUGUGUGGUUUGAUGAGGAGCUAAAAUCAGUUUUGAUGACUUCAGUUCGUUGACUUCGGAAGCUGACAGCUGGCCUGAUUAAUGCUGCUACUUUGAUAGAUUUUCUAGUCCCAAACCACCACCAUCACCGUCCUGCUCAAUUUAUACCAGAGGAUGUAAAUACAUUAACAUUUUUGUAAUGUUACAUCUAUAAAUAUGAAUGAUCUGCAUUAACAAUGAAGUUUGUAGGGACUGUUGAAGGAAGAUGGGGAUCUCAGCAACCUAACCUAACUUUUGCUUGUGAGUCACUUGCAUGACUUGACAUGUUGUGAACAAUAGUUUAAUUCUGGUUGUAAGCAAUGGUUUGUUAUUUGGUGAAAUUUGUACCUUUUAGUUAUGAAGUGAAA
This is a long non-coding RNA of Cornus florida, 2253 nucleotides long. RefSeq lists it as uncharacterized. Lineage: Eukaryota; Viridiplantae; Streptophyta; Magnoliopsida; Cornales; Cornaceae. The transcript is spliced from 3 exons. The record is from RefSeq and is a predicted model, not a curated record.